GAUGAACGCUGGCGGCGUGCCUAAUACAUGCAAGUCGAGCGAACAGAUAAGGAGCUUGCUCCUUUGACGUUAGCGGCGGACGGGUGAGUAACACGUGGGUAACCUACCUAUAAGACUGGAAUAACUCCGGGAAACCGGGGCUAAUGCCGGAUAACAUUUAGAACCGCAUGGUUCUAAAGUGAAAGAUGGUUUUUCUAUCACUUAUAGAUGGACCCGCGCCGUAUUAGCUAGUUGGUAAGGUAACGGCUUACCAAGGCAACGAUACGUAGCCGACCUGAGAGGGUGAUCGGCCACACUGGAACGGAGACACGGUCCAGACUCCUACGGGAGGCAGAAGUAGGGAAUCUUCCGCAAUGGGCGAAAGCCUGACGGAGCAACGCCGCGUGAGUGAUGAAGGUCUUCGGAUCGUAAAACUCUGUUAUUAGGGAAGAACAAAUGUGUAAGUAACUGUGCACGUCUUGACGGUACCUAAUCAGAAAGCCACGGCUAACUACGUG
Molecule: ribosomal RNA, 497 nt
Filed under: uncultured bacterium
Lineage: Bacteria
Description: partial 16S ribosomal RNA
Rfam family: Bacterial small subunit ribosomal RNA
Source: RNAcentral